Molecule: non-coding RNA, 82 nt
Filed under: Legionella pneumophila subsp. pneumophila
Lineage: Bacteria; Pseudomonadati; Pseudomonadota; Gammaproteobacteria; Legionellales; Legionellaceae
Also listed under: 1 other name
Description: Legionella RNA 69
Rfam family: Legionella RNA 69
Source: RNAcentral
AGACAAUGCUUAUGCAUCUCCUCAGCCUGAGUGUUCCCUGGGUAUCGACUGGUUGAUAUAUCAUCUUUAUCCAUAACUCACG